GACGUAGGGUGCAAGCGUUGUCCGGAUUUAUUGGGCGUAAAGAGCUCGUAGGCGGCCUGUUGCGUCGAUUGUGAAAUCCCGGAGCUCAACUCCGGGUCUGCAGUCGAUACGGGCAGGCUAGAGGCAGGUAGGGGAGAGUGGAAUUCCUGGUGUAGCGGUGGAAUGCGCAGAUAUCAGGAGGAACACCGGUGGCGAAGGCGGCUCUCUGGGCCUGACCUGACGCUGAGGAGCGAAAGCGUGGGGAGCGAAC
This 250-nucleotide ribosomal RNA is filed under the name uncultured bacterium. RNAcentral describes it as "partial 16S ribosomal RNA". It matches the Rfam family "Bacterial small subunit ribosomal RNA", at positions 524 to 773 of the family's 1533-position model. The record is from RNAcentral.